Molecule: ribosomal RNA, 549 nt
Filed under: uncultured Glomeromycotina
Lineage: Eukaryota; Fungi; Glomeromycota
Description: SSU rRNA
Rfam family: Eukaryotic small subunit ribosomal RNA
Source: RNAcentral
UUGGAGGGCAAGUCUGGUGCCAGCAGCCGCGGUAAUUCCAGCUCCAAUAGCGUAUAUUAAAGUUGUUGCAGUUAAAAAGCUCGUAGUUGAAUUUCGGGGUUAGUAGGUUGGUCAUGCCUCUGAUAUGUACUGAUCUCACUGAUUCCUCCUUCCUUAUGAACCGUAAUGCCAUUAAUUUGGUGUUGCGGGGAAUUUGGACUGUUACUUUGAAAAAAUUAGAGUGUUUAAAGCAGGCUAACGCUUGAAUACAUUAGCAUGGAAUAAUGAAAUAGGACGUUCGAUCUUAUUUUGUUGGUUUCUAGGAUUGACGUAAUGAUUAAUAGGGAUAGUUGGGGGCAUUAGUAUCCAAUUGUCAGAGGUGAAAUUCUUGGAUUUAUUGAAGACUAACUACUGCGAAAGCAUUUGCCAAGGAUGUUUUCAUUAAUCAAGAACGAAAGUUAGGGGAUCGAAGACGAUCAGAUACCGUCGUAGUCUUAACCAUAAACUAUGCCGACUAGGGAUCGGAUGAUGUUAAUUUUUUAAUGACUCAUUCGGCGCCUUACGGGAAAC